This 414-nucleotide unclassified non-coding RNA is filed under the name soil metagenome. Its description in RNAcentral is "partial contains 5.8S ribosomal RNA, internal transcribed spacer 2, and large subunit ribosomal RNA". The stretch from base 2 to 121 matches the Rfam family "5.8S ribosomal RNA", at positions 35 to 154 of the family's 154-position model. The record is from RNAcentral.
GGAUGAAGAACGUAGCGAAAUGCGAUAAGUAAUGUGAAUUGCAGAAUUCAGUGAAUCAUCGAAUCUUUGAACGCACCUUGCGCUCCUUGGUAUUCCUUGGAGCAUGCCUGUUUGAGUAUCAUGAGCAAAUCUCAAAGUCGAUCCUUUUGUUAAUUCAAUUGGUUUGCUUUGGACUUGGAGGCCUUGCAGAUUUCACCGUCUGCUCCUCUUAAAUGCAUUAGCUGGAUCUCAGUAUUAUGCUUGGUUCCACUCGGCGUGAUAAGUAUCACUCGCUGAGGACACUGUAAAAGGUGGCCAGGAAAAUACUGAUCGAACCGCUUCUAACGGUCUAUUAACUUAGACAAUUACCCUUAAGUUUGAUCUCAAAUCAGGUAGGACUACCCGCUGAACUUAAGCAUAUCAAUAAGCGGAGGA